CCAGGGUUUUUAUUUUGUACUUCAAACCUUAAAUUUAUUUUUUAUGUUUUUUAAAUAUUCAUGUUUUUGAAUAUUUAAUUCAAAUAAUGUAAAAAAUAAAAUAGAUAUUGACAUGGAUUGAACAAAGAUAUAUAUUAUUUUAUGUUGUAUAAACAAAUUGGCAAAAUAGAGAUGGAAGAUAAAAAUAUGG
RNAcentral lists this unclassified non-coding RNA (190 nucleotides) under uncultured Borrelia sp. Its description in RNAcentral is "partial miscellaneous RNA". Lineage: Bacteria; Pseudomonadati; Spirochaetota; Spirochaetia; Spirochaetales; Borreliaceae. The record is from RNAcentral.